CGAUGAAGGACGUGGUAGCCUGCGAUAAGCUUCGGGGAGUCGGCAAACUGACUUUGAUCCGGAGAUUUCCGAAUGGGGAAACCCACCUGUCAUAAGGCAGGUAUUCUACACUGAAUACAUAGGUGUAGGAGGCAAACCCGGGGAACUGAAACAUCUAAGUACCCGGAGGAAAAGAAAUCAAUUGAGAUUCCCUCAGUAGCGGCGAGCGAAAGGGGAACAGCCCGUAAGCAGUGGUGUAGGUAAUGGAACGGUCUGUAAAGUCCGAGGAUACAAGGGGAUAGGCCUGUAC
RNAcentral lists this ribosomal RNA (289 nucleotides) under Bacillus thuringiensis. RNAcentral describes it as "partial 23S ribosomal RNA". It matches the Rfam family "Bacterial large subunit ribosomal RNA", at positions 47 to 378 of the family's 2925-position model. Lineage: Bacteria; Bacillati; Bacillota; Bacilli; Caryophanales; Bacillaceae. The record is from RNAcentral.